RNAcentral lists this ribosomal RNA (459 nucleotides) under uncultured bacterium. Its description in RNAcentral is "partial 16S ribosomal RNA". It matches the Rfam family "Bacterial small subunit ribosomal RNA", at positions 338 to 795 of the family's 1533-position model. The record is from RNAcentral.
CCUACGGGAGGCAGCAGUGAGGAAUAUUGGUCAAUGGGCGAGAGCCUGAACCAGCCAAGUCGCGUGAGGGAAGACGGUCCUACGGAUUGUAAACCUCUUUUGUCAGGGAGCAAGGAGCGCCACGAGUGGUGCGGCGAGAGUACCUGAAGAAAAAGCAUCGGCUAACUCCGUGCCAGCAGCCGCGGUAAUACGGAGGAUGCGAGCGUUAUUCGGAUUUAUUGGGUUUAAAGGGUGCGUAGGCGGUCCGGAAAGUCAGCGGUAAAAGCCCGGGGCUCAACCCCGGCGGGCCGUUGAAACUGGCGGGCUAGAGACGGCGAGAGGUAGGCAGAAUGCGCGGUGUAGCGGUGAAAUGCAUAGAGAUCGCGAAGAACUCCGGUUGCGAAGGCAGCGUACCGGCGGCAGACUGACGCUGAGGCACGAAAGCGUGGGUAUCGAACAGGAUUAGAUACCCUAGUAGUC